This 164-nucleotide ribosomal RNA is filed under the name uncultured bacterium. RNAcentral's name for it is "partial 16S rRNA". It matches the Rfam family "Bacterial small subunit ribosomal RNA", at positions 355 to 511 of the family's 1533-position model. The record is from RNAcentral.
UAGGGAAUCUUCCACAAUGGACGAAAGUCUGAUGGAGCAACGCCGCGUGAGUGAAGAAGGUUUUCGGAUCGUAAAGCUCUGUUGUUGGUGAAGAAGGAUAGAGGCAGUAACUGGUCUUUAUUUGACGGUAAUCAACCAGAAAGUCACGGCUAACUACGCGCCAG